GUUAGGGUGGCAGAGCCCGGACGUGCAAAAGAUCUAAGACCUUUAAACAGAGGUUCAAAUCCUCUCCCUAACU
This 73-nucleotide transfer RNA is filed under the name Sillago panhwari. Its description in RNAcentral is "tRNA-Leu". It matches the Rfam family "tRNA". From Rfam's summary of the family: Transfer RNA (tRNA) molecules are approximately 80 nucleotides in length. Lineage: Eukaryota; Metazoa; Chordata; Actinopteri; Sillaginidae. The record is from RNAcentral.